RNAcentral lists this ribosomal RNA (329 nucleotides) under uncultured bacterium. Its description in RNAcentral is "bacterial SSU rRNA". It matches the Rfam family "Bacterial small subunit ribosomal RNA", at positions 568 to 898 of the family's 1533-position model. The record is from RNAcentral.
CACGCAGGCGGUUUUGCAAGUCCGAUGUUAAAGACCUGGGCUCAACUCAGGGGAUGCGUUGGAAACUGCAAGACUAGAGUAUUAGAGGGGGAGUCGGAAUUCCUAGUGUAGGGGUGAAAUCUGUUGAUAUUAGGAAGAACACCGGUGGCGAAGGCGGACUCCUGGCUGGAUACUGACGCUGAGGUGCGAAAGCAUAGGGAGCAAACAGGAUUAGAUACCCUGGUAGUCUAUGCCUGUAAACGAUGUGCACUUGGUGUUGGGCCGAUUAGGUUCAGUGCCGUAGCUAACGCGAUAAGUGCACCGCCUGGGAGUAUGCCCGCAAGGGUGAA